GUCAGCCUGCAACUCGGCUGCAUGAAGCUGGAAUCGCUAGUAAUCGCGGAUCAGAAUGCCGCGGUGAAUACGUUCCCGGGUCUUGUACACACCGCCCGUCACACCAUGGGAGUCGGGAAUGCCCGAAGUCAGUGACCCAACCGAAAGGGGGGAGCUGCCGAAGGCAGGCCUGGUAACUGGGGUGAAGUCGUAACAAGGUACC
Molecule: ribosomal RNA, 202 nt
Filed under: uncultured bacterium
Lineage: Bacteria
Description: partial 16S ribosomal RNA
Rfam family: Bacterial small subunit ribosomal RNA
Source: RNAcentral